Molecule: ribosomal RNA, 119 nt
Filed under: Salmo salar (Atlantic salmon)
Lineage: Eukaryota; Metazoa; Chordata; Actinopteri; Salmoniformes; Salmonidae
Source: RNAcentral
GCUUACGGCCAUACCAGCCUGGGUACGCCCGAUCUCGUCUGAUCUCGGAAGCUAAGCAGGGUCAGGCCUUGUUAGUACUUGGAUGGGAGACCGCCUGGGAAUACCAGGUGCUGUAAGCA